This 372-nucleotide ribosomal RNA is filed under the name uncultured organism. Its description in RNAcentral is "partial 16S ribosomal RNA". It matches the Rfam family "Bacterial small subunit ribosomal RNA", at positions 527 to 896 of the family's 1533-position model. The record is from RNAcentral.
GUAGGUGGCAAGCGUUGUCCGGAAUUAUUGGGCGUAAAGCGCGCGCAGGCGGUUCUUUAAGUCUGAUGUGAAAGCCCACGGCUCAACCGUGGAGGGUCAUUGGAAACUGGAGAACUUGAGUACAGAAGAGGAAAGCGGAAUUCCACGUGUAGCGGUGAAAUGCGUAGAGAUGUGGAGGAACACCAGUGGCGAAGGCGGCUUUCUGGUCUGUAACUGACGCUGAGGCGCGAAAGCGUGGGGAGCAAACAGGAUUAGAUACCCUGGUAGUCCGCGCCGUAAACGAUGAGUGCUAAGUGUUAGGGGGUUUCCGCCCCCCUUAGUGCUGCAGCUAACGCAUUAAGCACUCCGCCUGGGAGUACGACCGCAAGGUUG